This 433-nucleotide ribosomal RNA is filed under the name uncultured bacterium. Its description in RNAcentral is "partial 16S ribosomal RNA". It matches the Rfam family "Bacterial small subunit ribosomal RNA", at positions 29 to 507 of the family's 1533-position model. The record is from RNAcentral.
AACGAACGCUGGCGGCAGGCUUAACACAUGCAAGUCGAACGCGCCGUGCGGGUUGAGUGGCAGGCGGGGGAGUAACGCGGUGGAAUCUACCCUUCUCUACGGGAUAGACCCGGGAAACUGGAAUUAAUACCGUAGACGGCCGGGGGGAGAAAGAUUGAUCGGGGAAGGAUGAGCCCGCGUUUGAUUAGCUAGUUGGUGGGGUAAAGGCCUACCAAGGCGACGAGCCAUAGAUGGUCUAAGAGGAUGAUCAGCCACAUUGGGACUGAGACACGGCCCAAACCCCUACGGGAGGCAGCAGUGGGGAAUAUUGGAAAAUGCGCGCGAGCCUGAUCCAGCCAUGCCGCGUGAGUGAUGAAGGCCCUAGGGUUGUACAGCUCUUUCAGUGGGGACGAUAAUGACGGUACCCACAGAAGAAGCCCCGGCUAACUUCGUG